GACAGAGGGUGCAAACGUUGUUCGGAAUUACUGGGCGUAAAGCGCGUGUAGGCUGCCCUGCAAGUCGGAUUUGAAAGCCCUGGGCUCAACCUAGGAAGUGCAUUCGAAACUGCAGGGCUGGAGUCCUGGAGAGGAAGGCGGAAUUCUCGGUGUAGAGGUGAAAUUCGUAGAUAUCGAGAGGAACACCGGUGGCGAAGGCGGCCUUCUGGACAGUGACUGACGCUGAGACGCGAAAGCGUGGGGAGCAAACAGG
This 253-nucleotide ribosomal RNA is filed under the name uncultured bacterium. Its description in RNAcentral is "partial 16S ribosomal RNA". It matches the Rfam family "Bacterial small subunit ribosomal RNA", at positions 524 to 776 of the family's 1533-position model. The record is from RNAcentral.